GCGCUUGGUGCAGGGGGCUUCAAAGGGAGGGAGGCCCCCAACUCCUUCUCAGGCACCCGCGCCCUCCGAGGGGACCCGGUCUUCGCUCCGCUGCCCUUGGCCCCCCUUCCGCCUGGAUUUCGGGGAGGGACGUUUCUCUACCCGCCUGCCCGCCCCCCGGCCCGAGCGGGGGCUUCCUCCCGGCCCCGCGCCUUGGCCGCCCAGCCCCGCCGGCUCCGGUGAGCAGGCGCCGUCCUCUGUGACCUCAUCGGGGUGCCGAGCGCCAACUGCCCGGCAACCGGAGCCGGAGCCAGAGCUGCAGAGCUGCUUCCAGAGGCGGGCGGGCAGACAGGCACGCAGCUCCCGGCAGCCCCCACGCCCCUCUCGCUGCCCAGGCAGGUGCUGCUCGCGAGGAGCCCGCCAGCCAGCCAGCGCGUCCCCCCUUGAGCGGCGCGGCCGGGUCUUCCGGCUCCCGGAAAAGAGAAGAUCCAGCCCCGAGGGCUCUCGGCCGGGACAUCCGCCGGACACCGGACGCAACGGGACGCGGGAGGACAGAANCACCAGCCAUGGAUCACAGGGUCCCCAUGUAUCCCAACUUCCCAGCAGAGCAUCGGAGCUCCGCGAGCGAGAACAUGGUCUGCGGAGACGAGGAGCUGGACGAGGAGACGGCGAACUUCAUCUCGGCCCUGUANGCGGCCUUAGGCCCUCUCCUGCCGGAAGUGACCAAGCUCCAAGGCCACCAGGACCCGCCUGCCCACCUGAUGGUUGACAUGAAGGCCAAGCUGCGGGAGCUGGGCUCCAGUGUUUCGGAUGCCAGGAAGAAGCUCCUGCGCUACAACAUUUACCUGAAGAAGAAGCUUGCCAAAGCUGUACAGGAGAGGCGGGUCCUGAGGGAACAGCACAUGACCGCGCAAAGCGGCCCAGAGCAGCCCUGCCCAGCCCAUCUGCCAAGGGGACUCCGGAUGGACAUGGACCCCGGGAAACUCCCCAUGGGGAUGGAGAAGAACAUCCAGGAGAUUUCGGCACCGGACUUUGGAAAAAUGAAGCCCCUGGACAGAAUUCAUCGGCGGAGUGACUCCAUGGAUGAGCGCCCCCGGUCCCCCAUGACCCCCCUGGGAAUACUGCAGAAAACUGCUUGCAUGCCUCCGCAUCCCCCCCUUUGAAAGGCACUCCCUGCAGUCAUCGGAGAAGGCAGCCCAGCUCACCACCCCAACAGCUCUCCUGCUUCCUGGUCCCCCCCCCCCAGCGCCACCAUGGAAGCAAGCGGCUUCCAGGUAGCUCCCAUUAAAGACACCUGAUGCCUCAACUAGUUCCAAGGGCAGCCGAGAGUUUUCAUUUUGACCUGCCGCGUCCUGCAUGCUCACAGCCAAACGUGUCACAACAGGCAAGGGCCUGUUUCCAAAGGGGCCCCCAGGGCAAGGCAUGCUGGUUUGUAGAUGCCUCAGCUGCACCCGUUUGGGGGUGCAGGCCUCUUACCCCAACAAAUCAUCCACAUCACUAUCAAUUUUGCCAUCAGCACCACACAACUACAUACUAGAACAUAUGCCACUGUGGAUGUCUCUGGGGGAGGUGAGGCGGAGUCCAUUGGCUGACCACUAACUUGGCUAUCACGAUAAUGGACCCCACACACAGAGGCUCCCCCCUCUUCAUGGACCUCUCCCUGCUUUUAGGCUACUCUGAAAUUGCACAAUUGCACAAAAGUGCAACUGCAAAGGAGCAGAAAUUGCAACCUAUCCUUUACGAAACUUUAUUGUGUGGCUAAUGUGGAACUGAAGUUCUGCUUGGGUGGAUACAGGCUGGAGGGGAGAAGGAGCAAACAGUGAAUGACCAGUAACGCCGCCAAGGAAUCCAUGUUCUGAGGCGGCAGCAGGGACAUAUNGAGGGCGGAACAUGUCUUGCCCGCCCUUGUGAAGUCAAGAUUAGAAUGUUGGGACCACAUCCAAUCGCUGACUGCACAGGGAGGGGAACUGGGGGGGGGUGGAGAGAGAGAAAGGAGCGGUUUCUCCAUGCCAAGCAGGGGAAAAAUGAGGUGUGAGAAGGAGAAAUUCGAAUUGAGUCCGCAUUGUAAUGCAAAUGUGUGAACGACCGAAACAUGUACUCAGUCCUCGUUCUCCUCCAAUAUGGAUUAAAUUUACAAUGUGGGACUGCGCCCUAUGAUACAAC
Molecule: long non-coding RNA, 2142 nt
Filed under: Salvator merianae (Argentine black and white tegu)
Lineage: Eukaryota; Metazoa; Chordata; Lepidosauria; Squamata; Teiidae
Description: lncRNA (ENSSMRG00000020157.1)
Source: RNAcentral